UACAGGGGGUGCAAACGUUGCUCGGAAUCAUUGGGCGUAAAGGGCUCGUAGGCGGCCUGUCGCGUCGGGAGUGAAAGCCCACUGCUUAACGGUGGGUCUGCUUCCGGUACGGGCGGGCUGGAGUAUGGCAGGGGAGACUGGAAUUCCUGGUGUAGCGGUGGAAUGCGCAGAUAUCAGGAGGAACACCCGUGGCGAAAGCGGCGCGCUGGACCACUACUGACGCUGAGGAACGAAAGCUAGGGGAGCAAACAGG
This 253-nucleotide ribosomal RNA is filed under the name uncultured bacterium. RNAcentral's name for it is "partial 16S ribosomal RNA". It matches the Rfam family "Bacterial small subunit ribosomal RNA", at positions 524 to 776 of the family's 1533-position model. The record is from RNAcentral.